GACGAACGCUGGCGGCGUGCCUAAUACAUGCAAGUCGAACGAAGCUGUUUUAACUGGUGCUUGCACCGACUUAAACAACUGAGUGGCGAACGGGUGAGUAACACGUGGGUAACCUGCCCCAAAGCGGGGGAUAACAUUUGGAAACAGAUGCUAAUACCGCAUAACCACAGAAACCACAUGGUUUCUGUGUCAAAGAUGGUUUCGGCUAUCACUUUGGGAUGGACCCGCGGCGUAUUAGCUCGUUGGUAAGGUAAUGGCUUACCAAGGCAAUGAUACGUAGCCGAACUGGGAGGUUGAUCGGCCACAUUGGGACUGAGACACGGCCCAAACUCCUACGGGAGGCAGCAGUAGGGAAUCUUCCACAAUGGACGAAAGUCUGAUGGAGCAACGCCGCGUGAGUGAAGAAGGUUUUCGGAUCGUAAAACUCUGUUGUCAGAGAUGAACGUGUGCGAGAGUAACUGUUCGUGCAGUGACGGUAUCUGGCCAGAAAGCCACGGCUAACUACGUGCCAGCCGCCGCGGUAA
RNAcentral lists this ribosomal RNA (524 nucleotides) under uncultured bacterium. RNAcentral describes it as "partial 16S ribosomal RNA". It matches the Rfam family "Bacterial small subunit ribosomal RNA", at positions 28 to 523 of the family's 1533-position model. The record is from RNAcentral.